This 148-nucleotide non-coding RNA is filed under the name Chlorocebus sabaeus (green monkey). The record is from Rfam by way of RNAcentral. Lineage: Eukaryota; Metazoa; Chordata; Mammalia; Primates; Cercopithecidae.
GCCGGGCGUGGUGGCGGGUGCCUGUAAUCCCAGCUACUCGGGAGGCUGAGGCAGGAGAAUCGCUUGAACCCAGGAGGCGGAGGUUGCAGUGAGCCAAGAUCGUACCACUGCACUCCAGCCUGGGUAACAAAGCGAGACUCUGUCUAAA